CACAGCAGGUCACUGAUCACAUUCACAGCAGGUCACAUCACAGCAGGUCACUGAUCACAUCCACAGCAGGUCACUGAUCACAUUAUAGUAGGUCACAUCAUAGUAGGUCACUGAUCACAUUAUAGUAGGUCACAUCAUAGUAGGUCACUGAUCACAUCACAGUAGGUCACUGAUCACAUCAUAGUAGGUCACAUCAUAGCAGGUCACUGAUCACAUCACAGUAGGUCACUGAUCACAUCACAGCAGGUCACUGAUCACAUCAUCGUAGGUCACUCAUCACAUCACAGUAGGUCACUGAUCACAUCACAGUAGGUCACUGAUCACAUCACAGCAGGUCACAUCACAGCAGGUCACUGAUCACAUCCACAGCAGGUCACUGAUCACAUCCACAGCAGGUCACAUCACAGCAGGUCACUGAUCACAUCCACAGCAGGUCAC
Oncorhynchus keta (chum salmon) is the source of this 438-nucleotide long non-coding RNA. RefSeq lists it as uncharacterized. The transcript is spliced from 4 exons. The record is from RefSeq and is a predicted model, not a curated record. Lineage: Eukaryota; Metazoa; Chordata; Actinopteri; Salmoniformes; Salmonidae.